RNAcentral lists this long non-coding RNA (340 nucleotides) under Prunus persica (peach). RNAcentral describes it as "long non-coding RNA (PPER_LNC001141)". The record is from RNAcentral. Lineage: Eukaryota; Viridiplantae; Streptophyta; Magnoliopsida; Rosales; Rosaceae.
GAAACCACAGCUCAGUAGGGACAUAAACCUUUUCACGGUAAAUUGAUUAACUAAAUUAAGUGACAUAAAAUCAUACAACCAAAUAUCACAUUAUUAAUAAUAAUGCAUGAAUGCUCUUCAUCUAAUCCUAUUAAUUCAUAUAACUGGACAGACAGACUUGCACGUCCCAUACCAUACUUAUACCACUUGGUCCCGAAUGCCCAUUUAUAUGAACUAACCCCCAUCUCAAUCAUCUCAUAAAUCCCCUUUUGUUAGUCAUUUUGUCUAACUCUCUGUCGCUAGUCCCUAUCACCCAAUAAAAACCACGUGCACUGUGGGAUCCCUGAGAUCUGGUACCUGC